Sphingobacteriia bacterium is the source of this 372-nucleotide non-coding RNA. NCBI's taxonomy places the organism in Bacteria, Pseudomonadati, Bacteroidota, Sphingobacteriia. The record is from Rfam.
GGGGCCGUUUUGGUUUUGACAGCAUAGGUUACGGUUGGUGUAAGCAUGCAGUGCGUUGGAUAAUUAGCACUUUAAUCUGAAUAUUCAACCAUUAAUUGGCAAUACUCAGUAUGCCAUGGCUGCUUAAUCAGUGAUUAAGUAACCAUUUGGGCCGCCGCACAGGUUCGCUUCUUUCCAUGUGCCGCCGCCGACUCAAAACAAAAGGAGAUGCUGCAAUAGUAGGCUGUGCCUAUUGCUUAAGAUUAUCCAGCUAAGUGAUGAAUUGGUUUGUUCUUUUCCGGUUCGUCGCCUACAACUAAUAAAGAAAUAAGCAUGUAGAAAGCUAAUGGUCACGAUGUUUGGACACCGGUUCGAGUCCGGUCGGCUCCACUA